Molecule: ribosomal RNA, 468 nt
Filed under: uncultured bacterium
Lineage: Bacteria
Description: partial 16S ribosomal RNA
Rfam family: Bacterial small subunit ribosomal RNA
Source: RNAcentral
GACGAACGCUGGCGGCGUGCUUAACACAUGCAAGUCGAACGGAAAGGCCCUGCUUUUGUGGGGUGCUCGAGUGGCGAACGGGUGAGUAACACGUGAGUAACCUGCCCUUGACUUUGGGAUAACUUCAGGAAACUGCGGCUCAUACCGGAUAUGAGCUCCUGCUCCAUGGUGUUGGUUGGAAAGUUUCGGCGGUUGUGGAUGGACUCGCGGCUUAUCCGCUACUUGGUCGGGUAGUGGCUUACCAAGGCUUUGACGGGUAGCCGGCAUGAGAGAGGUAACGGGGACAUGAGGACUGAGAGACGGACCAGAAGCGUACGGGAGGCAGCAGGGGGGAAUAUGGCAGAACGGGCGGAAGCCUGAUGCAGCAACGCUGCGUGCGGGAUGACGGCCUUCGGGGUGUAAACAGAUUUCGACGGUGACGAAGAGUGGGUGACGGUAAUGGGUAAAGAAGCACCGGCUAACUACGUG